This is a non-coding RNA of Podarcis lilfordi (Lilford's wall lizard), 74 nucleotides long. The record is from the annotation of a GenBank genome assembly. Lineage: Eukaryota; Metazoa; Chordata; Lepidosauria; Squamata; Lacertidae.
GGAUAGCUCAGUUGGUUAGAGCAUGGUGCUGAUAAUGCCAAGACUGCGGGUUCGAUCCAUCCCUGUGUGGGACA